GAUGAACGCUAGCGGCAGGCUUAACACAUGCAAGUCGAGGGGUAACAGGGAGCUUGCUCUGCUGACGACCGGCGCACGGGUGCGUAACGCGUAUGCAACCUACCUUCUACAGGGGGAUAGUCAAUAGAAAUGUUGAAUAAUACCCCAUACGAUCUUUGAGUGGCAUUACUUAAAGAGGAAAGCUUCGGCGGUAGAAGAUGGGCAUGCGUCCUAUUAGUUAGUUGGUGAGGUAACGGCUCACCAAGACCGCGAUAGGUAGGGGCCCUGAGAGGGGGAUCCCCCACACUGGUACUGAGACACGGACCAG
RNAcentral lists this ribosomal RNA (307 nucleotides) under uncultured bacterium. RNAcentral's name for it is "bacterial SSU rRNA". It matches the Rfam family "Bacterial small subunit ribosomal RNA", at positions 28 to 334 of the family's 1533-position model. The record is from RNAcentral.